RNAcentral lists this non-coding RNA (484 nucleotides) under Trichobilharzia regenti. RNAcentral describes it as "Eukaryotic large subunit ribosomal RNA". It matches the Rfam family "Eukaryotic large subunit ribosomal RNA", at positions 1908 to 2271 of the family's 3401-position model. The record is from Rfam by way of RNAcentral. Lineage: Eukaryota; Metazoa; Platyhelminthes; Trematoda; Strigeidida; Schistosomatidae.
GGGAAGUCGGCAAAUUGGAUCCGUAACUUCGGGAGAAGAGUUGGCUCUGGAGGCCGAGUCAGACAAGCCGAGAUCAGAUACGUGUCUGUUCAUUUGGAGGCUGGUUUCUUUGCUGUUUGCGUGCUUCGGUGCGCAUUUUAGUGGAGUUACUGGACUCUGACCGCGAUCGAUCGUGGGCGGUUUCAGCUUUUAGUGUUGUAUGGACAGCAGCGCGCGUGGACUUGCUCUGCGUUGCGUCAAGCGUCUGUGUUUCUAUUGUUUGGCGCGCGACGGCUUACUCAGAACUGACAAGGACCAAGGGAAUCCGACUGUCUAAUUAAAACAAAGCAUUGCGAUGUCCGCUGACCAGUUAUGGCGCAAUGUGAUCUCCGCCCAGAGCUCUGAAUGUCAAAGUAAAUAAAUCCAGCCAAGUGCGAGGAUGCGUGACUGGGAGCUGUCAGCUAGACAAGUCAGCUUAAAGAGUCAGGGUCAGCAUCCAAUGUUC